Long non-coding RNA from Topomyia yanbarensis, 1041 nucleotides. RefSeq lists it as uncharacterized. Lineage: Eukaryota; Metazoa; Arthropoda; Insecta; Diptera; Culicidae. The transcript has 3 exons. The record is from RefSeq and is a predicted model, not a curated record.
AAAACACAAGAUUAGAAUUUUUUGUAUUUUUUUUCAUCGCGACCUGUCAAAAUUUUGUAGUUUUGAGAAUCAAUAUUUUGAAUUUGAAUGCACACCCGAACAAAGCAGCCACAAGAGCAGCAUUUUUCGUCAGCAGCAGAAGCAGCAGCCAUCUAUCUACUUGAUAAGUUUUCAUCAACAACAACCAGAUGCUACAAAUCAGCUCAACUUGACUCAACAUCCUGGAUCUGGCAAUCAGCCAACCAACAUUAAAUCGAUACAACCGUAGCAGUACCAACAACUCCAAAUCCAGCAGCUGCCAACAAUCUCUCAAAAAAGAACCACAGCAAUUACAGCUCAGAACCAACAAAGCAACAAGAGCUUUUUUUACGAAUAAUGGACCCAACGGACACACUUUAUCGGCACAUUCUGUCGUAAAACUUGCCUGCCACUAUUCUUACCAGCGGUUACCUUCCUGAUGUAGAGAAAUCAGAGUCAAACACAAACGUCAUAUUACUGCCUUGGCUCCUACCAGUUGCUUGCAUGAAAAGAUCGCUGCCUCCACAGUGCUCGUAAUUCCAUCCCAGCAGCAGCUAGCAACCACAAUUCCAGUGCUUAUCGCCAGCAACAUCAGAAAAUUAAGAUUUUCCCUAGACCAUGACCAUCAUCCGACAGAUCGGUAGCAACAACGUUCAACUGACGGUAGAACCUGGCCAGCAACCGCAACUAGUGCAAUCGAUCCAAGCCAAUGAGGGCCAAAUGUAGAAGACCAUUGGUCAACCGCAAAAAAAAGAUACAUCAACAGCACCUUCAAACACAGUAGCAGCAGCAUACUGUACUGUACCACGCCGCGCGCAGGAGGACUUUUUUAUUCAGUUGGUGCAGCAAGAUCGAACAGCAACCAUAGCGGAUACACAUCACCGAACACCAGCAACAUAAUGCCAUGGUAACCACCCAGCAGCAGAACACGGCGAUAAUGGGCCAACAGUAAAUACAACAUCAAGAUCCUCGGAAAGGACUUUCUCUUUCGGUAUGUGUUUAACAGUAGCUUCUCUCCUCCAA